Anopheles gambiae (African malaria mosquito) is the source of this 3224-nucleotide long non-coding RNA. RefSeq lists it as uncharacterized. NCBI's taxonomy places the organism in Eukaryota, Metazoa, Arthropoda, Insecta, Diptera, Culicidae. The transcript is spliced from 2 exons. The record is from RefSeq and is a predicted model, not a curated record.
GUGCGUUGCGUGCGAUUGGUAAAACCUGCAAACUCAUGGCGCAACUUAUGAUCGAGUCCGCGGGCUCUUCAUCGUACGAUCGUAUUGAUAAAGCGUGUGCGUAUGUGUGCCACGAUGGUUGAAUUUCGCAACAACACAAACAAGUCGACGUAUUCCAAUGUUCGAACGUCUUACGGAACUAGCAAAGUAAUUUGAGAAAUUUCGGAACCAUUUUUCUUCAGUUUGUGUUGUACUGUCCUCAGCCAUAAAAUAGGCAUGCCCGACUUUGCAUCGAGAGCUUAACCGGGCGCGAAGCCGCUUAUCGUUGAUAGUUCUUUUUUUCGGAAACGAGACCGCAUGUGUGCAUAACCGUACACCCCAUGCCCGGGCCCAGUUCCAGGGGCCCUGACACAUACACAAAAGAUCGAAAAAUCCCAUAUCUUGUGCCCCACAGGUAAGUGUAGGUGAUUCCGGUGCGGAGGGACAACUUACCGCGGCACAGAGGCCAGUUGUGAAGCGUUGCGUCCCGCGGAUGAGAAGGUGACGUUGAGCGAUUUUCCUUAUCGGUGAUUUCACACCGUCGCAGGAAGGGACCGGGGGCCGCGGGUGCCGCGGGCGUGUGUGACCAGCGCCGUGUGUGUAUAAAUAUCGAUGGCACGUUCACAUCGACACUGAGUCACAUUUAUCUUGCGGAUCCGCGGUCUUGUCCGUGCCACGGUGGUGUGCGUUACCUAUUUGAUAUGGCCCCAGGCUUCGAACGCGAUUGAUAACGGAUCGGUACGGUUUGUUUUUUCGUACACACGGACACACACACACACUCAUUGGUAGUUGUGACCGAGGGCGGCCAUUUCGGUAUCGAUCGGAAGGGGUUGAUUUUGCCCUCCCCGUCCCGGCCCAACACGGGCCGGUGAUCCUGGAGCAUGCGGUGCGGCUGAUAACGGUUGCGUUCUGUCUCUCUUUCUAUCGUCCGCAGUGCGCCACAUCGGUGAGGGCCCGGCUAGCUAGUCUGCCUCGCUUGUUGCACACUGAAGGUGACAAGAAAAAACGGCCAUCCGUUUAUCGGUUAUAAAAGCUGUGUACACUUUAAACUGCUCCUAUUACGGUGGAUCGCUUGGUGUGGAAAGGACCGGCGGUUCGGUUCCGGUGUGACACGAUAGGAGAGUUUGUCGAUGUGGCAUCGAUGCUCCCACACAAGAAGGGGCAGUGUGAAGUGAGUGCUUGAAGUGCUUGAACGAACGCUUGUUACAGUUGCAGUGAAUGCGAUAGGAAGUUAAUAGUGAAGUGUGGCCAAAUUGUGUGCGAAAAAACGAUUGCGACGAAAACUCCUCUGCUGCUGCUCCGGCUCCUCACACGUUCACGCUACGAUCGUGGGUAUUUUAGAUCAUCGACAGACCACGGCACUUUCGUCACUGGCACUGUAAGGCCGAGCAGAUGCGGCCUCAACCCAAACCCUCACCCGUGGUUCGCAUCUGCUCCCGUCCAGUGCCCUGUCCAACCAUACUGUCAGAUCUACUUCAUACCCAUGAAUGGUGGCGUGAAAGCGACGUGACUCAUGCGAUUUGUGCAAAAAGAAGAAGAAGAAAACGGUGGCGUGAAAAGGUGUGCGGUGGCGUCAUCCAAUGUAUAUGUAUAUCACGAUAUGGAAUAAGUGGAGUAGUGGUCUCAUCGCUUAGCUUCAGAAAAGUGAGAUUCUACUUCUCCGACUUAAUUCAUAUCUAGUUGAAUCAACAGUACCGUACGCCACCCUCUCAGAAGGCAGUUCGUACCGAUUACAGCCAGCGUGCUUCCGGUUUCCGCAGUAGGAGCAGGCAACGCCCAGAAAAAUCGACAUACAACGUCCUACAUGUCGACGAGCGUGCGGCGAAGCAAAGCGCCAGAAUGUAUGCAAUACACACAACACAAUUCAACACGGUUAUUCGAUCGUGGUCGUUUGCGUUUCGUUUUUUUCCCCUGUAGCCUUCACGCUGCUACAAACUAACACAAAUUGUGAGACUUUCUUUCGCAGUGACGCAAAUUAAAAGGACAUGGAUUUUGGAAUGUUUAAAUCCAUGUGGUAAGGCUCUCGAACUCCAUUCGCACUCAUCUCAAUUGGUUUUGAUUGUAGGGUUGCACUGCAUGCCCAACAGGCGAUAAGGAAUGGAAGCUCAACUCAACGUUGUCCCGAUUUGCGUGUCAAACUAACACCUCGUUACAAAUACACAAAUACACGUGAAAGGAGACAUAAUUGAGCGCAUUUCGCGAACGUGCUAAGCGUUUUAACGAGCUGCUGGCGCAAAACCUUACCACAGGAUUAGCGAAACUUCAACCACCCCCUGAGGGGAAAGUAGUACGGAUUAGAACUGUUUGUUUUGCAGCUUAUCAUUGCACCGUUGGAAAGAGCAUGUACAGCUUGCGGUGAUAUAAUAAUGAUCGGCAAACAGUGCGCGUAUCGGCCCCGGCGCGGAAUCCUGAUUAGUAGCGUACCAUGGCCAUACCAUGCCCAAGGAUAGCAGCCACUCGUUCCAGCCCUUCCCUUCCCGUUUUUACCUGUUUGCUUCGUGUAGGAUUUGUUGGAAAGGGAGUGUCUUCUAACCUUCCAAAGAUUAAUAACUCUGUUUUUACGAUCGCCGCGCAAGGAUCACCACCGCCAACGGGGGAAAGUCGAUCAAAAAGGGUUCAGUGCCGAGUGGAAAAAGGACCUCCUCAGCAUCCUUCGGCGCCCCGAAAAAAGGAUACGCUCAGCCGAGCGCUUUCCAAUCGAUCGAUUCGGUGGGUGUGUUUCGACAAAUUAGAGAAACUGACGAUAGAAAUAAAAUUUUAAUGCCAUCCUUGAUCGUUGCGGGCCCGCAAACGGAGCAGCGGUGUUGUUUUUUUGGGAUGCGUGCUAAGGGAUUAUUGUUUUUGUUUAGCGUUAUUUACAUGCCAAGCCGCCAAAGGGGGAAAGUGGUCUUAAUAGUCGUGACAAGGUAUUCGUGGCACCAGGAAUCAAAGGAACCGGGUGGUCCCCUCGAAAGGUCGUACGAUGGCGUUGCGGGCGCCGUUUAAAUUACAAGGAACCCGGUGCCCGGUAAUGGUUGUGUGAAAUUGUUAAUGGUCGUCGGUGGUCGGGCGAUUGAAGCCAUGCUAUGAUUAGGAUAGCGCCAUUGAUCCUUUGGCUGGUUGCGCAGUAGGCCCGGGGCUAGAUUGACUUGUAAAACAAUUCUUGUCCUUAGGAUAGGAUGAUCAUUCAGCGAUCGAAUAAAAGUUAUGUUUAUUUUUAUGAUUCA